AUAUGAUUGGAUCACUAUCAGACAUUGAUUAGCUGGAGGUUUUUAAAUCAACAGUUUGGGGUGUUAGAAAACUGAGUUUUCAAGAAUAUUACACAAACUCUUGGUCUUCAUGGUCGUAGAACAGGAACCCCUCGUCCGCUUCGUUGCAGGAUCGAUGCACAUUCCUGUCGAAAUGUGUCAUUUGUGGAUGAGGUGAUCAUAUUGGCGAUGCACUCAGCGACAUCAGUCGCAAUACGCCGCAUCUGAACAAAUCCGAAGGAAACAUUAGUAUUUGAACACAAAUUCCAUUAGUAAACAAGACAGCAAUUUGAACGUAAAUUGACAUGGUACUUAAAGCGCAUUUCACCUAUACUCGUCCUGAGAAAAAUUCUUUAGCGUCUACAACUGAAAUGACUCGAAGGUGUUGAAACAGCAAACCAGGACCAAGUCUUGGAAUUUCAUUCAUUUUUCAGAGGAAUAUACGCAUAUUAAAUAUUCUAAGUUGUAUUCUAUUCUAAUCUCUUUGUCUGCCUGUCAAAAAGACCAUGAACAGAAUCACGAAGAUGUACUUGCGUUGCAUUUUCACUCUGAAAAUGCUCAGGGUAUUUGGCUUUCAGUUCAUUCAUGCAGGCCUCCGCUGCAACCUUCACCAUUCUUCCCCCGACUGGUGAGUGUGAUCUUCGUAAAAUUCGUAGCUCAGAGUCAAGGAAAACUAACUAUUACAGAAAAUAGUAAUAGAUAACAGAUGCAAACCAGGAUAAGGUCCAAUAACCGUUAUUACGAUUAUAAGGUUGUGCUCAAGAUUUCUAAGCAAUAAAAAUCAUUAAUAAGAUUAUAACAUUCACAACA
Non-coding RNA from Physcomitrium patens, 828 nucleotides. The record is from RefSeq and is a predicted model, not a curated record. Lineage: Eukaryota; Viridiplantae; Streptophyta; Bryopsida; Funariales; Funariaceae.